ACCUACGGGACGCAGCAGUGGGGGAUAUUGCACAAUGGGGGAAACCCUGAUGCAGCGACGCCGCGUGUAGGAAGACGGUCCUCUGGAUUGUAAACUACUGUCCCCAGGGACGAAGAUGACGGUACCUGACUAAGAAGCCCCGGCUAAAUACGUGCCAGCAGCCGCGGUAAUACGUAUGGGGCAAGCGUUAUCCGGAUUUACUGGGUGUAAAGGGAGCGCAGGCGGCCUGGCAAGCCUGAUGUGAAAUACCGGGGCCCAACCCCGGGGCUGCCUUGGGAACUGCCAGGCUGGAGUGCCGGAGAGGC
RNAcentral lists this ribosomal RNA (305 nucleotides) under uncultured bacterium. RNAcentral describes it as "bacterial SSU rRNA". It matches the Rfam family "Bacterial small subunit ribosomal RNA", at positions 337 to 658 of the family's 1533-position model. The record is from RNAcentral.